This 393-nucleotide ribosomal RNA is filed under the name Triticum aestivum (bread wheat). Its description in RNAcentral is "partial small subunit ribosomal RNA". The record is from RNAcentral. Lineage: Eukaryota; Viridiplantae; Streptophyta; Magnoliopsida; Poales; Poaceae.
AUGGGCAUGGCUGACAAGAGGUCGGCUGCAAGGAAGGCCGGGCUAAUCACCAAGGCGCUGGACCGGUGCUGGACCACACCGGCGAGAAACAGCAAGCCAGUGGAGGGCUGCUUCUCGGUGUAUGUUGGCGCCGGGAAGCAGCGGUUCGUGGUGCGGACAGAGUGCGUGAACCACCCGCUGUUCCGAGCGCUGUUGGAGGAGGCCGAGGAGGUGUUUGGGUACGCGGAUGCAGGGCCCCUCGAGCUUCCCUGCAACGCCGAGGCGUUUGCCAGGGUGCUGCAGCAGAUCAAGGAGGAGAAGCAGAUGGUGGCAGGAAGGAGGUUCGUCCUUGCCAAGGGGAACUCCUACCGGCUGCUCGGCACCAGCCGGUCUGUCAUCAUCGGACAGUCGUAG